Molecule: ribosomal RNA, 301 nt
Filed under: uncultured bacterium
Lineage: Bacteria
Description: partial 16S ribosomal RNA
Rfam family: Bacterial small subunit ribosomal RNA
Source: RNAcentral
CAGUCGCCGCGGGAAUACGAAGGGUGCAAGCGUUACUCGGAAUUACUGGGCGUAAAGCGUGUGUAGGUGGUUGUUUAAGUCUGUCGUGAAAGCCCAGGGCUCAACCUGGGAAUUGCGAUGGAUACUGGGCGACUAGAGUGCGGUAGAGGAUAGUGGAAUUUCCGGUGUAGCAGUGAAAUGCGUAGAGAUCGGAAGGAACAUCUGUGGCGAAGGCGACUAUCUGGGCCAACACUGACACUGAGACACGAAAGCGUGGGGAGCAAACAGGAUUAGAUACCCCUGUAGUCCCUGUCUCUUAUAC